This 445-nucleotide ribosomal RNA is filed under the name uncultured bacterium. RNAcentral describes it as "partial 16S ribosomal RNA". It matches the Rfam family "Bacterial small subunit ribosomal RNA", at positions 330 to 792 of the family's 1533-position model. The record is from RNAcentral.
CCCAGACUCCUACGGGAGGCAGCAGUGGGGAAUAUUGCACAAUGGGGGAAACCCUGAUGCAGCGACGCCGCGUGAGCGAUGAAGUAUUUCGGUAUGUAAAGCUCUAUCAGCAGGGAAGAAAAUGACGGUACCUGACUAAGAAGCCCCGGCUAACUACGUGCCAGCAGCCGCGGUAAUACGUAGGGGGCAAGCGUUAUCCGGAUUUACUGGGUGUAAAGGGAGCGUAGACGGCGGUGCAAGCCAGAUGUGAAAGCCCGGGGCUCAACCCCGGGACUGCUUUGGAAACUGUUUGACUGGAGUGCAGGAGAGGUAAGUGGAAUUCCUAGUGUAGCGGUGAAAUGCGUAGAUAUUAGGAGGAACACCAGUGGCGAAGGCGGCUUACCGGACUGUAACUGACGUUGAGGCCCGAAAGCGUGGGGAGCAAACAGGAUUAGAUACCCUGGUA